AGAUUGAACGCUAGCGGGAUGCUUUACACAUGCAAGUCGAACGGCAGCGCGGACUUCGGUCUGGCGGCGAGUGGCGAACGGGUGAGUAAUAUAUCGGAACGUGCCCAGUAGCGGGGGAUAACUACGCGAAAGCGUGGCUAAUACCGCAUACGCCCUACGGGGGAAAGGGGGGGAUUCUUCGGGACCUCUCACUAUUGGAGCGGCCGAUAUCAGAUUAGCUAGUUGGUGAGGUAAAGGCUCACAAGGCGACGAUCUGUAGCUGGUUUGAGAGGACGACCAGCCACACUGGGACUGAGACACGGCCCAGACUCCUACGGGAGGCAGCAGGUGGGAAUUUGGACAAGUGGGGGAAACCUGAUCCAGCCAUCCGCGUGUGCGAUGAAGGCCGUGGUUGUAAGACUACGUUAGUCGAGGAAGAAACGGACGCGACCGUAA
RNAcentral lists this ribosomal RNA (435 nucleotides) under uncultured soil bacterium. RNAcentral describes it as "bacterial SSU rRNA". It matches the Rfam family "Bacterial small subunit ribosomal RNA", at positions 26 to 465 of the family's 1533-position model. The record is from RNAcentral.